RNAcentral lists this ribosomal RNA (717 nucleotides) under uncultured bacterium. RNAcentral's name for it is "partial 16S ribosomal RNA". The record is from RNAcentral.
CUGCGCUAUCGGUGUUCUUCGGGAUAUCUAUGCAUUUCACCGCUACACCCCGAAUUCCGCCUACCUCGUUCACACUCAAGAAGGGAAGUUUCAACGGCAGUUUCGGAGUUAAGCUCCGAGAUUUCACCGCUGACUGACCCUUCCACCUACGCACCCUUUAAACCCAAUAAAUCCGGAUAACGCUCGCAUCCUCCGUAUUACCGCGGCUGCUGGCACGGAGUUAGCCGAUGCUUAUUCCUUGGGUACAUACAAAUAAGGACACGUCCCUAACUUUAUUCCCCAAUAAAAGAAGUUUACAAUACAUAAUACCGUCAUCCUUCACGCGAUUUGGCUGGUUCAGGCUCUCGCCCAUUGACCAAUAUUCCUCACUGCUGCCUCCCGUAGGAGUCUGGUCCGUGUCUCAGUACCAGUGUGGGGGAUAAACCUCUCAGUUCCCCUAUCCAUCGAUGGCUUGGUAAGCCGUUACCUAUACCAACUACCUAAUGGAGCGCAUGCCCAUCCAUAACCAAUAAAUCUUUAGCAAAUAUUACCAGGCGGUAUCCCUGCUUUAUGCGGUAUUAAUCCGUCUUUCAACGGGCUAUCCCACAGUUAUGGGUAGGUUGCAUACGUGUUACUCACCCGUGCGCCGGUCGUCAGCGGAGCAAGCUCCCUGUUACCCCUCGACUUGCAUGUGUUAAGCCUAUCGCUAGCGUUCAUCCUGAGCCAGGAUCAAACUCU